This is a long non-coding RNA of Carassius gibelio (silver crucian carp), 466 nucleotides long. RefSeq lists it as uncharacterized. The transcript is spliced from 2 exons. The record is from RefSeq and is a predicted model, not a curated record. NCBI's taxonomy places the organism in Eukaryota, Metazoa, Chordata, Actinopteri, Cypriniformes, Cyprinidae.
CUCUCUCUCUCUCUCUCUUUCUCAGACAGCAGCCCACCCUAUUUAAACCAGUGCCCUGUCCCACCCUGUGCUGAAUGCGAACCCAAAUCUUGACCUGUUUGGAAACAAAAUUGAUGGAGCUUGGAAAAAUGGCAUCCCGCAGGAAUGAGCCAACUUAUCUUGCCUGGUCCAUCUUCAACACUUUUUGUUGCUGUUUGCCACUUGGCAUUGCAGCAAUCAUCUACUCAUGCAGAGCAGACAAUGCAAAUUCACUUGGAGAUGCUGGAAGAGCUCAAGAGUCCUCCAGGAUAGCAAAGAACCUGAAUAUUGCUUCACUGGUGAUUGGACUGAUUGGAUUAAUUAUGUUGAUUGUAAUGGUGGUGAUUGGAGGCUCAAAAAUGUAAACAACAUAACCAUAUGCCUUUGAUUGAAUGUGGUGGGGGGGGGUUGUUUUUUUUUUUUUUUUUUUUUUUUUUGCUAUUCCAAA